Long non-coding RNA from Monomorium pharaonis (pharaoh ant), 1205 nucleotides. RefSeq lists it as uncharacterized. NCBI's taxonomy places the organism in Eukaryota, Metazoa, Arthropoda, Insecta, Hymenoptera, Formicidae. The record is from RefSeq and is a predicted model, not a curated record. The transcript is spliced from 2 exons.
UCCCCGUUUCUCUCCGUCUCUCCCGGUCUCUCCCCGUUCUUACGGAGAUCUUAGAUGACGAACAAACAUUUACAUUUUUAUUUAUAUAGAUUAUUAUUGUGACAAUUUUUUAUCUAUACAUAUUUACUGUAGAUAAAGAAAUCAUGGUUCAUAAUAAUUACUCCUAUCUCUAUAAAAACUAUAUAAAAUUAUUUUCAAAUAAAUUCAUAUAUAGAGCAAGAAAUUUUACUAAUAUUGCAUCAGCAUUGCAAUAUUUUAAUAAUAUUGUUAAAAAUACUGCAAAAUUGUUGCAACUUUGCUGGAACGUUUUGAGUUGUAAUGCUACGAUCAGACUAUGCACGAUUAGGGUUGCCAUAUUAAAAUUUGUUAAACUAGAACUUACAGGCCAAAAACCCCGGACAUUUCUGUUGCAACCCCGGACAUAUACGAGAAUACGUUAAUUACACAUAAUAAAUAUUAUAGAAGCCGCUCAAUAAGUGGUUGUGCCAUUGGAAAAAGCACGAAAAGCUGAUGAAGAGCAAUCAGUUUACGUAGUGGUGAACUUAAAAAUAAUAUAAAAAUAAUAUAAAUACUUUCACAACGGAAAUGUUAUAGCUAAUAUCGGUAACUACAAUAACAAUCAGUUAAGUCGUGUAAUGUAAUUUACAAAAAUUGUUUCGAGUAAAUGAUAACAAAAGUUAUAUCAUUUGUUCGAAUUAAUUAUAUUUUCGAAUCCAUAGAAUCGAUAGAAUUCGAUAGCACUCAGCCUGUUGCAAAAUGAGCUUUUUUUGAGCAUGAAACUUUAUGGACAAAAGCAAUUUAUUAAUAAAACAAAUUGUGCAUUACGGAAGCAAAUCACUUACCAAGAAGUAUCUUAAAAUGUUUUAAUCGAUCUAAUUGUCUACUCGGUUUUCAUUGUAGCAACCAGAGUAAGAAUCACAAAUCGUGAAUAGUAUAUCGCGACACAAAUGGAUUGAUCCGCGUCUUUUGUUAAAAAACUCAGCUAGCGAAUUAGUGUGAAUGACGAAUCAUGUAUGACGAAUUUUCCUUCCACAUUAUUCACGAACGUAAUAUAAAUCAUGAAUUACAAAUCACGAAUUGCGAAUAUGCGUAUAAUUGCAUUAGCGUAAAUCAAUGUAAUUAAAACUAAAAAAUUUGAAAAAAAUAAUAUUUGAAUUUUUUAAUAGUACAAUAUGUGAAUGCAAAUAUAUAAAUAAAUAAAAAAA